RNAcentral lists this ribosomal RNA (390 nucleotides) under uncultured bacterium. Its description in RNAcentral is "bacterial SSU rRNA". It matches the Rfam family "Bacterial small subunit ribosomal RNA", at positions 28 to 419 of the family's 1533-position model. The record is from RNAcentral.
GACGAACGCUGGCGGCGUGCUUAACACAUGCAAGUCGGGCGGUAAGGCCCUUUCGGGGGUACACGAGCGGCGAACGGGUGAGUAACACGUGGGUGACCUGCCCUCAGCUCUGGGAUAAGCCUGGGAAACCGGGUCUAAUACUGGAUAUGACUCCAUGACGCAUGUUGUGGGGUGGAAAGCCUUGUGCGGCUGAGGAUGGGCCCGCGGCCUAUCAGCUUGUUGGUGGGGUGAUGGCCUACCAAGGCGACGACGGGUAGCCGGCCUGAGAGGGCGACCGGCCACACUGGGACUGAGACACGGCCCAGACUCCUACGGGAGGCAGCAGUGGGGAAUCUUGCGCAAUGGGCGAAAGCCUGACGCAGCGACGCCGCGUGAGGGAUGACGGCCUGU